UACGAAGGGGGCUAGCGUUGUUCGGAAUCACUGGGCGUAAAGCGCACGUAGGCGGAUUGUUAAGUCGGGGGUGAAAUCCUGAGGCUCAACCUCAGAACUGCCUCCGAUACUGGCAAUCUCGAGUUCGGAAGAGGUCGGUGGAACAGCUAGUGUAGAGGUGAAAUUCGUAGAUAUUCGCAAGAACACCAGUGGCGAAGGCGGCUCACUGGCCCGGUACUGACGCUGAGAUACGAAAGCGUGGGGAGCAAACAGG
Molecule: ribosomal RNA, 253 nt
Filed under: uncultured bacterium
Lineage: Bacteria
Description: partial 16S ribosomal RNA
Rfam family: Bacterial small subunit ribosomal RNA
Source: RNAcentral